GACGAACGCUGGCGGCGUGCUUUAGACAUGCAAGUCGAACGAGACCUUCGGAUCUAGUGGCGAACGGCGGAGUAAUACAUAAACAACGUGCCCUGAAGACUGGGAUAUACGGUCGAAAGGCCGAGCAAUACCGGAUGUGGCCGAGACUAGGCAUCUAGACUCGAUUAAAUGGUUUUCGCUUCAGGAGCGGUUUAUGACUCAUCAGCUAGUUGGUAGGGUAAUGGCCUACCAAGGCUACGACGGGUAGGGGGUCUGAGAGGAUGAUCCCCCCGAGUGGGACUGAGACACGGCCCACACACCUACGGGUGGCAGCAGUUUGGAAUCUUGCCCAAUGGGGGGAAACCCUGAGGCAGCGACGCCGCGUGGAGGAUGAAGGAUUUAGGUCGUGUAAACUCCUUUUGCCAGGAAAGACUUAGGACGGUACCUGGCGAAUAAAGCUCCGGCUAACUACGUGCCAGCAGCCGCGGU
This 468-nucleotide ribosomal RNA is filed under the name uncultured bacterium. Its description in RNAcentral is "bacterial SSU rRNA". It matches the Rfam family "Bacterial small subunit ribosomal RNA", at positions 28 to 521 of the family's 1533-position model. The record is from RNAcentral.